GAUGAACGCUGGCGGCGUGCCUAAUACAUGCAAGUCGAGCGAACAGACGAGGAGCUUGCUCCUCUGACGUUAGCGGCGGACGGGUGAGUAACACGUGGAUAACCUACCUAUAAGACUGGGAUAACUUCGGGAAACCGGAGCUAAUACCGGAUAAUAUAUUGAACCGCAUGGUUCAAUAGUGAAAGACGGUUUUGCUGUCACUUAUAGAUGGAUCCGCGCCGCAUUAGCUAGUUGGUAAGGUAACGGCUUACCAAGGCGACGAUGCGUAGCCGACCUGAGAGGGUGAUCGGCCACACUGGAACUGAGACACGGUCCAGACUCCUACGGGAGGCAGCGGUAGGGAAUCUUCCGCAAUGGGCGAAAGCCUGACGGAGCAACGCCGCGUGAGUGAUGAAGGUCUUCGGAUCGUAAAACUCUGUUAUUAGGGAAGAACAAAUGUGUAAGUAACUAUGCACGUCUUGACGGUACCUAAUCAGAAAGCCACGGCUAACUACGUG
This 497-nucleotide ribosomal RNA is filed under the name uncultured bacterium. RNAcentral describes it as "partial 16S ribosomal RNA". It matches the Rfam family "Bacterial small subunit ribosomal RNA", at positions 28 to 507 of the family's 1533-position model. The record is from RNAcentral.